AUUGAACGCUGGCGGCAUGCCUUACACAUGCAAGUCGAACGGUAACAGGUCUUCGGAUGCUGACGAGUGGCGAACGGGUGAGUAAUACAUCGGAACGUGCCCGAUCGUGGGGGUUAACGCAGCGAAAGCUGUGCUAAUACCGCAUACGAUCUACGGAUGAAAGCGGGGGAUCGCAAGACCUCGCGCGGACGGAGCGGCCGAUGGCAGAUUAGGUAGUUGGUGGGAUAAAAGCUUACCAAGCCGACGAUCUGUAGCUGGUCUUGGAGGACGACCAGCCACACUGGAAGUGGAACAGGGCCAGGACCCUAAGGGGGGGAAGAGGGGGGAAAUUUUGGCAAUGGGGGGAAACCUUGACCAGGCCCGGCCGGGUGGAGGAUAAAGGCUUCGGGGUUGUAAACUCUUUUUUUAGGGAAGAAAAAAGCUCUCUCUAACUAGGGGGGUGAAGGAGGGACCCAAAAAAAAAAGCACGGGUAAACACCGU
Molecule: ribosomal RNA, 481 nt
Filed under: uncultured bacterium
Lineage: Bacteria
Description: partial 16S ribosomal RNA
Rfam family: Bacterial small subunit ribosomal RNA
Source: RNAcentral